Molecule: non-coding RNA, 1661 nt
Organism: Phasianus colchicus (ring-necked pheasant)
Lineage: Eukaryota; Metazoa; Chordata; Aves; Galliformes; Phasianidae
Source: RefSeq, a predicted model, not a curated record
UUGUUGCACAAACAUCUUCAUUCACUGACCUCACCGUGAGCGAAUACCAGAGGGCUCAAGCGAUGCCUGUGUUAAAAACACAUCCAGGCACGGAUGAAAACAUCAGGCCCGUGGUGUGAGGGUGCCCAAAACGUGCUCCAACACUUUCCCCUGUCCCUGGCUUGCACAGAAAUGGUGUUACAUCUCAGGCCUUCAAAGGGAGUUUGCCUCCUUAGUUUUAGAAGCAGCAUGCACCUUUGCAACGUCGCUCCCAUUUCCACGUUUCCUAGCAGCCUCGUGCCUAACAGCACAGCUCACAGCUCCCUCCCAUUCUACCCAAGGACCACGACACCAUAACAUAGCACUUCAGUCUCCACACGCCAAACUCCAUCAAGCACGGCCGGCUUCGGAGCAAACCCCACCCCAGCAGCAGAUAUUUCCCCAUGCACGCUCCUUGAGGUGCUGGGUGCAAACACAACCACUCUUUUGUUGCUUUCUUUCCACUGCCAACGUGCUCGUGGCAAUGGAAGCACAGCCAGCGCCUGGUCUCACACUGCAGCAGCCAGGCAGGGAGAAGAAAAGCGGACGCACAUUGAUGUGACAAAGGUUGAAGUGAUUUACUGACAGAUCAACAGAAUACAUAAACUGGCAUCUCCUGCAACACCAGGAACUUUAAAAAAAAUAAAAGCAAGUCUCAAUCAGUGCGUGAUACCAUUUUUUCCUCAUCAGAAGACUCUACCUGACCCAGAAGAAGGAAACGCAAUAAAAGCCAUGCAGUAAUUAUUGCUGGAUGCUUUGUGGUUCGUACCUGAGCGAUGGUCCCCAAUGGCUUCAGAAAUAUAAAAUACCAUCCUAACAAUCAAUAGCAUCUUAACAAUACAAAUAUGUACAUCAAGAGAAAAAGCAAAAACACUAGGUAGGGUAGAGACACCUGUAGUUUGUUCUAUUUUUUAUAGAGGGCAGAAGUAUCAAAUGUACAAAAGUGUUCAUGACCAGGGUGGAUGGGGCCCUGGGCAGCCUGAUGUGGUGGCUGGCAAAUCAGCCACGGCAGGAGGUUGGAACCUGGUGACCCUUGAGAUCCCUUCCAACCCAAGGCAUUCCAUGAUUCAAUAAAAAUAAGAGCUUUGAUCUUAAAAUGAGAUUGUUUUUUAACUUUAAAACAAACACAAACUCCAUUCUAAGCCAACCUGAAAUUUCGACUUCUUGCCAUUCCAUUCCUGACAUUUUUCACGUGGGACCUCAAAUACAUUAACCGACAAACCCUUAACGACAGCCUUUUCCAAACAGUUGCGUUCUGCUUAAUGUAACAACCGUAAACCAAAUCAGAAAACUUCGCUGUCAGAUGGGAAACAGACCGAAGAGAAUGAGACUUGCACAAGAGAAUCUGCAGCAGAUUUAACAAAUGACUCAGAGCUUCCACACCCUUUCGUUUACCCACAAAGCCAACCAUUUCCCCGUAAACCUUGUGCAGGAUGAUAUACGAAGACCAAAACAGCAGGUAUCGAGGUUUUGGCAAAGACUCAGCCAGUUUGAGAAGCUGUCCCUGUUGGUUAUGAGGCUUCGUAGUUACAGAUGCUGGAUUAUUCACUCAGAGAUAACUGACACGUCCUGAAGUCAAUGCCCUACCCAAACACAACCUGAAGGACUGGAUUUUGCCCUUAACGUGGAGCCGCUGUGACAGA